CAACUGCAAGAUAGUUGUGGAGGGAUUCUUUUGGCCCAUACCUCCAACAACCUCCCAGCUAGAACCAAUGGACAUCUACACCAGGUGAUGUGUGAGGAGGACCGUCAGAGACUCCAGCCACCCGAGCUAUGGAUUGCUCUCACCGUUACCAUCAGGCAGAUGUUAUCGCAGAACCUUUACAGAGCCAAGACAAGUUCUUUCCACAGGCAAUCAGAUUGAAUUGGACUUGUACCAGUAACACCACACACACCCCACCAGCCUCAUAUGCACUGCACUCUAUCACUUACACUUACUGGACUCUGACUCACUAUUAUUCUGCACCCUGACAUUCUGUUUGCACUAAUUCAUACCGUGCUGCACUGCAAAGGUAUAUGUGUACUGUGAUUAAUGUGUUUAUUAUUGUUUUCAUUUCACGCUCUCUGUAUAGUAUAAUAUUUACCAUAUGUUGUUCUCUACCUGUAUUGAGUCCCUUAUACAUGUGUGUUGCAUAUAUAUUCAAUACUUUUCAUCCAUAAUGUCAUGCUGCAGUUUGCACAAAAGACUUUCACCACCUGUACACUUGCGUUCAUGUUAUUGUGACAAUAAAGUGAUUUGAUUUGAA
Molecule: long non-coding RNA, 601 nt
Organism: Sinocyclocheilus grahami
Lineage: Eukaryota; Metazoa; Chordata; Actinopteri; Cypriniformes; Cyprinidae
Exons: 2
Source: RefSeq, a predicted model, not a curated record